UUCUAUGAACAACCCACAUUCUUCCAAAAGGUGGGGGUUUCCCCUUAUAUUUGAUAGAACUGAUUUCUGUUGCUUGUAACUCAACACUGUGACACGGACUAGCGAUGCUGAGUUUAGAAGGUGGUGGUUACUGGGCAACAGAGGGAAGGAAAUUACUAAUGACAUUGGCUUUGGCUUCCUUUGGCAGCUGUUUUAAAAAGUUUGGCUGGAAAUACUGGAAUGGAUAUAACUCCUUGUCAAUGAAAUCAGGCUGGAAACAGGAUAAUAAGUUUAUCGCCAUAAGAAGUGAUUAAGUAGGGCCAGGAGAUAAAUGGAUAGAUAACACACAGAUGACAGACGAAGGGGAAAGACGGUAAAUCCUGGGAACGUAAGUUUUUCAUGACACUCUAAUUUCAUUUGGUUUGGGCUCUGGGAUUUGUUUUGUUUUCUUUUUGUUUGAUGGGGCGGUGGGUGUUGAGAUGAAGUUUUGUUUUGUAGCCCAGGCUGGCACUGAACCUACAGUCCUCAUAUAGAAUCCUAGGACUGAAGGCAUGUGUCAGCUUAGGCUUGGCUUUCAUUGUGAGAGCCAACUCUUACCUAAAUGUUUGAUAUUUAAAUGCCUGUGAUAAAGAUAACAUUUAGUAAUUGCAUUUUAAUUUCCUUUAUUGGUAAGAUCAUAAGCCUACCAUAUUGCAUGGACCCUGGAUCUCCUCCUAGGCAAAUCCCCUGGCCUCUCUGAAGUCAGACACACACCGAAGGCAAGAUAAUGCCAAGCAAACUUAGCCCCAGCUCCAAGAUUCCCUAAGGGAGACUUUUCUGGCUGGUUGACUUGAAUUGGGUAACUACAGACCAGAGAGAUUCAGCACUGUGGACAGAUCUGAGGCUGGGCAGGGCAGUAUUCUGCAGGUCCAGGGACCUAGAUUUAAGUGUAUAAAAUCCAGGCAUUGCUAUCAGUCUCAAUGUAAACUCGACUCCAGGCUGAAUACCUGAAUUAAUGACUUCAAAUCUCCAUUUAAUGAAAUAUUCAGAUUGUGAUUGCACUCAGUUUCAUUAACUGUAAUUCUCAGGCUAAUGUAAUGAGAUUUUCUUUCAACUUGUAAUUAACUUUAUUGAGAAUGCUUACUGGGAUUUUUUUUUAAGGCAGGUUUCCUCGAACCUUACUGCAAAUUAUUUUAAUGUAUGUAUCAUGGUAUUAAGUAUAUUACUUAUUUUUUGUUAGCUGUUAAUUUCCAAAGAAGCAAAAGAUCUGUAUUAAUCUCUUCUAGGGGGAGACAGAAGGUUUGCUGAGUGAAGGAAGCCCUCUAACCAGGAAAUAAUCCUGGUUGCUGAUUCUGAAAUCCAGGCUUCCUCUGUCAGACUUGGCAUUCUUAUUAUUUUUCUACCAAAACCAUUAUGAUCCUAAUCAAAAAAGCUCCUUUUUUAUGCAAUUUGCAAUAUAAAAAUAAAAAUUCUUCAGAUUUUCAAAAACUGUUUUCUGUAGCUCAAAGUCCUCCCUUCAGUCAAAGGCGAACACUGUCGAAGUGUUCUGCUUUUCCUCCUCUGUUUUCUUGGAAAGUCACUGGGGAGUAUGUUUCUGGCAGAACAAAUAUUAUCAAUUUCUCAGGAAAAGAUGUCCUUGCUCAUCUCUGCCCCCAUGUUCUGGGGAGACCUCCUGCUUGUUUGCAAGGUACUCUUCCCGGCCACCACCAUUGCUUUCCUCGUCUCCUGCUCCUUACUGUAUUGUAAGAGCCAAGAGGAUAUACCCGAGAAAGGCUCCCCACACGCAUGUCUCCCAUUGUUGCCUAGAGAGAAGUUUUAAAUGCCAGCUGAAAGUUGAUUCAAAGGAAAUAUUAAUUACUGGCAAGUAAUGUCAGAAAUGUCUGGUACUCCAGAACAAGACUGGUGACUUUAUUUAAGUGGGUUUAUUUUCAAAAAUGAGGCUAACCUAAUGCUGCAAUUCUUAACAUCAAUCAAUAAGGUAAAGAAAAAGAAAAGAAACACAGCCCUGAUAUAAUACGCAGCAAGGGCUCCUGGGAAAAGCACAAGAAAGGAUGUGACCAGAGUGUAAGAUUUGUAACUCAGUACAUGAGUGUAGUGGCCAGAGCCCAAGCUCCUUGCCUGGUGUCUCUGGCCAUGGGCAGGUCAGUCAAAGCCUCUGAGCCAGUUUCCUCAUUGAUCUGUCAUUGCUGCAAACACAUUUUUAUUAUUUCAUGGUGCUCUUGAGGGGAGGUAAAAUGAACACACGUUGUAGGUGACACACAAAUGGAUCUGCUUCACUUGUGACUCCUAGCACAUCAAACACAUAGCAAGUGUACCCCUCCCGCAUCCAAACAUGAAGGCAGAAAUAUUUUCCCAAAGCAAUAAUGUCACUGCUGUGCAAGAAGCAUGACUUGGCAUCUCUGAAACUCAACCGCAGGGUUGAGCCUUUGGGCUUUCUUUACAGAGAGUCCUACAGGCAGUUGGAAAAGCAGCGCAAGGCUUAUGUGACCAUAUUAGAAGAAAGAUUUGGAAAGAACUUACAGAAGGUAAUUUUUUUCCUUUUAGGGCUCCAUCUUUUUUUUUAAUUUUUUAUUAGAUAUAUUUAUUUACUUACAUUUCAAAUGUUAUUCUGUUACUAUUGCUGUGAUGAAAUACCAUGACCAGAGCAACUCGGAGAGGAAAGGGUUUAUUCAGUUUAUGCUUCCACAUCACCGUUCAUCACCAAAGUCAGGACAAGAACUCAAGCAGGGCAGGAACCUGGAGGCAGGGGCUGAAUCAGAGGCAGAGGCCAUGGAAGGGUGCUGCUUAUUGGCUUGUUCCACAUGGCUGGCUCAGCCUGACUUCUUCUAGACCCUUUGACCAACUGCCCAGGGAUGGCACCACCCACAAUGGACUGUGCCCUCCCCCAUCAAUUACUAAUUUAAAAAAUGCCCCACAGGCUGGCCCACUGCCUGAUCUAAUGGAAGCAUUUUCUCAGUUAGGGCUCCCUCCUUCAAUGACCCUAGCAUGUCAAGCUGACAUUAAGCUAGUCAAUACAGGCUCUGUUUCUUUGUUGACAGCACAUGCCCUGUACAUGAACACACACACACACACACACACACACACACACACACACACACACGUUGUCAACCAACACAGAGAAUGAAAACAUUGCUAACAACAUCUGUCCAGUGAAUGCAUCCCCGUCCACACAGACACUCUCUAGUAAACAGACAAGUAGUCGUGUUUCUAUAACCAGGCAUGCGUGGUGCUACACUCCUUGCGUAUGCCCAUUCUCUGUACUCCUUUUGUAGUAUAGAAAAGAGGUUCAGAAUUCUAGUACCCGUUCCAAGCAUGCACAGCUGCUAAGGGAUGGAUCAAAGCUCAGGUCCCAGCUGUCCACCUCUGAGAUCCAGACCCUCCGUGGCUCCCUACACUCCCACACACUCACUUAGACAUGUUUGAUAAGAGAUCUCCCUGUGUGGCAGGCCUCUCAGUGGCACUGUUUACCCCAGACAGUAGAUCUCUCAAGCUCAAGCUGCUUGGAGUCACUACAGGCCUCUGAGUGAUUUUCCUAAUGCAGCACAGAUCCCUUCCGUUAGCUGCUUAACAGUCGAUGACACCCCAGGGCCUCCAGAGUGGGAUGGGACAAGCCGUGCACCUUUCCAAGGCAGCGAAGACUUUAGAUUUCAGGAACAACUUAGUAUGUGUGACAUCGUAAAAGUUAGACCCUCCCCUCAGAUAGAAUGAGCCAAGCUCUAUCAGAGCUGGCUAUCUAUGAAAGCCCCUUACUGUCCACCCAACUGGGUGGUUAUUGAGCUUGUGCUAGACUCCCAUACAUGCACUCAUCCAGCAAGUGUCUAUGAACAUAGUACACUGUCUAAGCACUAGGGAUACAGGGACAAACAGAGCAAGAGCAUCCGUGCUCACCCUCCACCUCCCAUGACUUACAGACUCUGCCCCACCACAAUACCCAAAAGGACCCAAGAAUACCAUCUACCUUGCCCAGCUAAUUGAUUUAGAAUCAGACAACCGAUCCAGAGGAAACCCAGAAGCCAGAGACCAACAUUUGUGUGUGUGGUCCCAUCCCCCUAACACCCAUCAAGAAUGAGGUAUUUCCCUGAGCUGUUGUUGGGUUUCACAAUGUCCCCCUUGGCCUCAUGUUUGGACAUUCUAUUUAGGGAGCUUAUGGAACCUUAGGAAGUCAGGCCCAUGUGGGAGAAGACUUUGAAGGUUGCACCUGUCCCUGAUUCCUGCCUCACUCUUUGCUUCCUGGUCCAUGAAGUGAACAACACCUGGCAUAUACACUCCCAUGGCUGUGUGCUUCUGCCACCACAGACUGAGCCUCUCUACAUGUGUUUCCUACAGCAAUGGGGCUGAAACUCUCUGAGGCCAUGAAGAAUUGUUUUUUGCUUUUCUGAAGUCAUUUCUGUCAGAUGGAUGAACCAAGAUGACUUUAGACAGAACAACUUGCCAUAAAGAAAAUCCUGGUGACACAGGAGCAGCAUGUGACUUGAGGCCAGAGAUGAGCAAGGAGGUCUGGCUAAGGACACAGUGAGUCCUGCCAAGGGAGAAGCCCCGGGGACAGUGUGCUGGGAACAAAGCACCACAGAGGUAAGGAGCCUGGGGCAGAAAUGGGUGUGGCUAUCUGAGGGCUGUUUUGAGUUCUAACUGAGUUAAUGCAUUCACAGCACUUAAUGCAGUACCCAGCAAGUGCUCAAUAAAUGUCAGGGUUCUAAAGGAGACCUCCCUACAAGAUGCCAAGUUGGAUGCAUAGCCUAAAACAGCCCUUUCCUGUGGCAUCAAAGGGGCUUUCGUUCCUUUAGUAUAUCCUUCAAAACGCUCAUUCCCAGAGGGACACCCACUUGUUCUGCAAACACCUGCAACACAAGAGAGAUCAAACAGUGUUAAUCGCACCCUCAGGGCCUCACUGGCUGGGUUUCUGUGGGACUCAGUGGUGUAGAUCAGUAAUGCUGGCUACUAUGGAGGUGGCUCAGCCAGUUCUCAAGCUUGGAGUCCUACUGGCUUCUCCAACUCCAGCUCUCAGUUCCUUAAACACACCCUUCAAAAUGUCCAUUUCCAAAGGCACACCCACAUACAUCUCAGAAUGAAAGAUAAAGGGAUCUCAAGAUGACUUUCCAUGAUAGAGAGUGAGCUCACCAUGUGUGAGGGAGGACAUAGGUUCAACCCUCAGCUCUAGGGAAAAAAAAAUCAGUUCUACUGAUCCAUAAUUAUGGAAAUGUUGCAUCAUUAAAGUUUUUAAGGCCCAGUUUCCUGUCCUAACAAUGACAAAAACCUAUAGGUUUUGAGAGAACUCAGCGUGUUUGGGAAUUUACACUGCCACCUGUCCAAGUCUCUCAUAACAUUACACUACUCUACAUACACUUUACUCUCGAACACUGAUAUCUAUAUUGAUUCCUGGCUAGGAAAUCCCUCUGCCACCUACAUAUUACAAAGUUUCUGAAAACAUCUAUGUCAAAAUUUCCAAAAGUCAAGGUUGGGCAUCCUAUCCCUGCCUUGGUGAAUAUGGGCAAUUGAGAGAGGGCCUGAGCAUGAACUGCUCUCAGUUUUGUGUCCACUUCUUAGUUUGUGAGAGACACGUUUAAGGAUCGAUUUGGGAAGGAGGCUUGAUGGGGCCAGAACACAAGGGGCUUUUCUUAUAUAUUCCAUGUCUUAAAAUGGAAUGAAGUCAAUAUUUGUCCUCAGUAUUGAGUGAAAUCUCACUUACAUAGAUGAUGAUGAUGAUGAUGAUGAUGAUGAUGAUGAUGAUAAUAAAAUAAGUACUAGUAGUAGUAUAUUAGUACUGGUAGUAAUAAGGCUGGGAAGAUGACCCAGUGGGUAAAGUGCUCUCUGCACAGGCACAGAUGUUCAAGUUCAGAUCCCCAGCACACCUGUAAAAACUGAGCAUGUGGGUAGGAAGAGGAGCAUCAUGGGAAACCACUGGCCAACCAACCUAACCAAAAGGGAAAGGGCCAGGUUCAAUGAGACUGUCUCAAAAAUAAGAAAGAGGAAAAAAAGAAAGAAAGAUGGAAAGAUGGACAGA
Molecule: non-coding RNA, 5959 nt
Organism: Rattus norvegicus (Norway rat)
Lineage: Eukaryota; Metazoa; Chordata; Mammalia; Rodentia; Muridae
Source: RefSeq, a predicted model, not a curated record